CAGCAGCCGCGGGAAUACGUAGGUGGCAAGCGUUGUCCGGAAUUAUUGGGCGUAAAGCGCGCGCAGGCGGAUAGGUCAGUCUGUCUUAAAAGUUUGGGGCUUAACCCCGUGAUGGGAUGGAAACUGCCAAUCUAGAGUAUCGGAGAGGAAAGUGGAAUUCCUAGUGUAGCGGUGAAAUGCGUAGAUAUUAGGAAGAACACCAGUGGCGAAGGCGACUUUCUGGACGAAAACUGACGCUGAGGCGCGAAAGCCAGGGGAGCGAACGGGAUUAGAGACCCCUGUAGUCCCCGUCUCUUAUACC
This 301-nucleotide ribosomal RNA is filed under the name uncultured bacterium. Its description in RNAcentral is "partial 16S ribosomal RNA". It matches the Rfam family "Bacterial small subunit ribosomal RNA", at positions 509 to 808 of the family's 1533-position model. The record is from RNAcentral.